This 404-nucleotide ribosomal RNA is filed under the name uncultured bacterium. RNAcentral's name for it is "bacterial SSU rRNA". It matches the Rfam family "Bacterial small subunit ribosomal RNA", at positions 355 to 776 of the family's 1533-position model. The record is from RNAcentral.
UGGGGAAUAUUGCACAAUGGGGGAAACCCUGAUGCAGCGACGCCGCGUGAGCGAUGAAGUAUCUCGGUAUGUAAAGCUCUAUCAGCAGGGAAGAAAGUGACAGUACCUGACUAAGAAGCCCCGGCUAACUACGUGCCAGCAGCCGCGGUAAUACGUAGGGGGCAAGCGUUAUCCGGAUUCACUGGGCGUAAAGGGAGCGCAGGCGGCACGGCAAGUCUGGUGUGAAAACCCGGGGCUCAACCCCGGGACUGCAUUGGAAACUGCCGGGCUGGAGUGUCGGAGGGGUAAGCGGAAUUCCUAGUGUAGCGGUGAAAUGCGUAGAUAUUAGGAGGAACACCAGUGGCGAAGGCGGCUUACUGGACGAUGACUGACGCUGAGGCUCGAAAGCGUGGGGAGCAAACAGG